CAGCAGCCGCGGUAAUACGUAGGUGGCAAGCGUUGUCCGGAAUUAUUGGGCGUAAAGCGCGCGCAGGUGGUUCCUUAAGUCUGAUGUGAAAGCCCACGGCUCAACCGUGGAGGGUCAUUGGAAACUGGGGGACUUGAGUGCAGAAGAGGAAAGUGGAAUUCCAAGUGUAGCGGUGAAAUGCGUAGAUAUUUGGAGGAACACCAGUGGCGAAGGCGACUUUCUGGUCUGUAACUGACACUGAGGCGCGAAAGCGUGGGGAGCAAACAGGAUUAGAUACCCCCGUAGUCCCUGUCUCUUAUAC
RNAcentral lists this ribosomal RNA (301 nucleotides) under uncultured bacterium. RNAcentral's name for it is "partial 16S ribosomal RNA". It matches the Rfam family "Bacterial small subunit ribosomal RNA", at positions 509 to 807 of the family's 1533-position model. The record is from RNAcentral.